UACGGAGGGUGCUAGCGUUGUUCGGAAUUACUGGGCGUAAAGCGCACGUAGGCGGCUUUGCAAGUUAGAGGUGAAAGCCCGGGGCUCAACUCCGGAAUUGCCUUUAAAACUGCAUCGCUAGAGUUGUGGAGAGGUAAGUGGAAUUCCGAGUGUAGAGGUGAAAUUCGUAGAUAUUCGGAGGAACACCAGUGGCGAAAGCGACUUUCUGGGACGUUCCUGACGCUGAGGUUCGAAAGCUCGGGGAGCAAACAGG
RNAcentral lists this ribosomal RNA (253 nucleotides) under uncultured bacterium. RNAcentral describes it as "partial 16S ribosomal RNA". It matches the Rfam family "Bacterial small subunit ribosomal RNA", at positions 524 to 776 of the family's 1533-position model. The record is from RNAcentral.